Molecule: long non-coding RNA, 356 nt
Organism: Apodemus sylvaticus (European woodmouse)
Lineage: Eukaryota; Metazoa; Chordata; Mammalia; Rodentia; Muridae
Exons: 4
Source: RefSeq, a predicted model, not a curated record
CGGCUCUAGAGUUCCAUUUGUUGGUAGGGAGCAAGCUAUAUGCUUUUAUUUUGAAUGCAUAGCUGAGGUAUAAUUGAAUCUCUCAGAUAUACCUUGAAUUUUCUUCUUGUAAGUACCUACACAUGCUGUGAGGACGCUUGCCAAAGUCCUUGCAAAAUACUUCUGCUGACCACAAAUGAGGUGUGGAUUCAUGAGGGAAUGCCUGGGUUCCUUCAGGACGUGGUAUGAAUAUGCAAAUUAAUGUAGUGGUAGGUGGAGUAAAGCCUUUGGUUCUGGCUUUGAGUGAACUAUUUCAGCAAAGUCUUUGUUAUGUUUGGGUCCAUCAGUCGAGGCUGAGAAAUUGUUACGAGCCCGUU